Molecule: non-coding RNA, 66 nt
Organism: Pseudomonas sp.
Lineage: Bacteria; Pseudomonadati; Pseudomonadota; Gammaproteobacteria; Pseudomonadales; Pseudomonadaceae
Source: Rfam
GGGUCUAGCCGCAUGGAUGCGGCGAGAGGCCUAACGGGCCAUGGACGGCCCGUGUAGGCCGACCCC